UGGGCUGCCCUUGCCUGACUCU
RNAcentral lists this microRNA (22 nucleotides) under Cavia porcellus (domestic guinea pig). RNAcentral describes it as "cpo-miR-12072-5p". Lineage: Eukaryota; Metazoa; Chordata; Mammalia; Rodentia; Caviidae. The record is from miRBase by way of RNAcentral.